UCUAAAAUUAAAAUAGUAAUAAUAAUACUUUUUAUAAGAAAUUAUUUGUAAAAAGAAAAUGGCAAUUAUUAGUGUGAGAAAUAUCUAGUUUUUGGUAGUAGAGUGCGUGCAGGCUGCAGUGACACAAAAUCACGAAGUGGUCGCAAGAUAUUUUAAUGGUCGCAAUGGAUUGAAAAUAUAAAGAUGUAAACUUGGCAGCAAUAUAAAUCAGUUAUAAUUGCUUAUUCUUUAAAGGCACCAUAGAUUAUACAAAUACAUGUUCAAUUAUUGAGAAGUGUAAACGAACAUAUACGCUUAUUCUCACAUGGUUGGCAUUUUUACAAAUUAUUGAGAACAUAUAUACAGUGCUGGCACGGCUUGCCUUCUUUAAGACAACGGGAUCAUGCAGUAGCGGCAUGAUUGAUCGAAUAAAUUUACUAGGUUUCAUAUUCUUCACGCUGUUAAAAGCCAAAAGUAUCAGAAAGCCAAUUGACCAGAACGUGUCUGAGCACUAAGAUUAAAUAGGUCCAGCAAAACAUAGAAGAAAGAGGAGAAAUCAUGCUCGAAAUGCAGCAAAGCAAAGAUUAAAAAAGAAUGAUUGUGCCACCGGCCACCACCUCAUAUACACGAUGAUCCAUUGUAUCCAAAAACUAAAUUUAAAAAAAAAACAUACGCACUAUUGCUUCAGCAGAAUGCAAUACUUCCGUAGGCCAAAUAUAAAUAUCAAGACGUUAAGAAACAACAGCCGCACAGCAGUGAUCGUGUUUAUAUUUAUUUCUUUCGUAGAUUUUUAUGUAUUUAUGUAUUUUGUAUGUUAAUUAUGUAUAAACGGGACUUUUAUUUGUUUAUUAUUUUUAUUGUAAAUAUUAUAAUUUUAAAGUAAGUUUAUAAUGGUGUACCCUAUAGGGGACCCAGCCAUUUAAAACAAUUGGCGUCGUGCCAAUCACGGUACCUCAAGGGCGGAAAACCGUGCCACGAAGCCGAUACGUAGUUAAUUUUGGUUUUUCGCCACCACCUGCUAAAUCCUGUAUGUGAAGUCCUUUCACUCAAAAACGAUUCUAAGUGUCGUCAUGAAAGCAAAGAAAAAAAGAAAAGGACGAACUUGAAUGAGCUCCGUUAAGCAUAAUAUUAAAGACAGUUUUUAAGAAUAGAAUUCAUACUCUCACGUAAUUCAAAAUUUGAUACUCUCACAUAAUUCCAAAUUUCAUACUCUCACAAGGUAGUUAA
Glossina fuscipes is the source of this 1206-nucleotide long non-coding RNA. RefSeq lists it as uncharacterized. The transcript is spliced from 5 exons. NCBI's taxonomy places the organism in Eukaryota, Metazoa, Arthropoda, Insecta, Diptera, Glossinidae. The record is from RefSeq and is a predicted model, not a curated record.